This 253-nucleotide ribosomal RNA is filed under the name uncultured bacterium. RNAcentral describes it as "partial 16S ribosomal RNA". It matches the Rfam family "Bacterial small subunit ribosomal RNA", at positions 524 to 776 of the family's 1533-position model. The record is from RNAcentral.
UACGAAGGGGGCUAGCGUUGCUCGGAAUUACUGGGCGUAAAGGGCGCGUAGGCGGAUAUCUAAGUUGGGGGGGAAAUCCCGGGGCUCAACCUCGGAAUUGCCUUCAAAACUGGAUAUCUUGAGUUCGGGAGAGGUGAGUGGAACUCCGAGUGUAGAGGUGAAAUUCGUAGAUAUUCGGAAGAACACCAGUGGCGAAGGCGACUCACUGGCCCGAUACUGACGCUGAGGCGCGAAAGCGUGGGGAGCAAACAGG